AUUGAACGCUGGCGGCAUGCCUUACACAUGCAAGUCGAACGGCAGCACGGGUGCUUGCACCUGGUGGCGAGUGGCGAACGGGUGAGUAAUACAUCGGAACAUGUCCUGUAGCGGGGGAUAGCCCGGCGAAAGCCGGAUUAAUACCGCAUACGAUCUACGGAUGACAGCGGGGGACCUUCGGGCCUCGCGCUAUAGGGUUGGCCGAUGGCUGAUUAGCUAGUUGGUGGGGUAAAGGCCUACCAAGGCGACGAUCAGUAGCUGGUCGGAGAGGACGACCAGCCGCACGGGGACUGAGCCACGGCCCAUGCGCCUGCGGGAGGCAGCAGUGGGGAAUUGUGGACAAUGGGCGAAAGCCUGAUCCAGCAAGGCCGCGUGUGUGAAGAAGGCCUUCGGGUUGUAAAGCACUCUUUUCCGGAAAGAAAUCCUUGGCCCUAAGACGGUCGGGGGAUGACGGUACCGGAUGAAUAAGCACCGGCUAACUACGUG
This 486-nucleotide ribosomal RNA is filed under the name uncultured bacterium. RNAcentral describes it as "partial 16S ribosomal RNA". It matches the Rfam family "Bacterial small subunit ribosomal RNA", at positions 28 to 507 of the family's 1533-position model. The record is from RNAcentral.